Molecule: ribosomal RNA, 457 nt
Filed under: uncultured bacterium
Lineage: Bacteria
Description: partial 16S ribosomal RNA
Rfam family: Bacterial small subunit ribosomal RNA
Source: RNAcentral
CUACGGGUCGCUCCAGUAGGGAAUUUUCGGCAAUGGGGGAAACCCUGACCGAGCAACGCCGCGUGAAUGACGAAGUACUUCGGUAUGUAAAGUUCUUUUAUCAGGGAAGAAUGACUUAUGGAAAAAUAAGUGUGACGGUACCUGAUGAAUAAGCCCCGGCUAACUAUGUGCCAGCAGCCGCGGUAAUACAUAGGGGGCAAGCGUUAGCCGGAAUUAAUGGGCGUAAAGGGUGCGUAGGUGGUUAGAUAAGUCUUAGGUGUAAGUGCAGAGCUUAACUCUGUGAUGCUAGAGAAACUGUCUGACUUGAGUGUGGUAGAGGCAAGUGGAAUUCCAUGUGUAGCGGUAAAAUGCGUAAAUAUAUGGAGGAACACCAGUGGCGAAGGCGGCUUGCUGGGCCAUAACUGACACUGAGGCACGAAAGCGUGGGGAGCAAACAGGAUUAGAUACCCCAGUAGUC